UACGGGGGGAGCAAGCGUUGUUCGGAUUUACUGGGCGUAAAGGGCGCGUAGGCGGUCACUACAAGUCACUUGUGAAAUCUCCGGGCUUAACUCGGAACGGUCAAGUGAUACUGUCGGACUAGAGUACAGAAGGGGCAACUGGAAUUCUCGGUGUAGCGGUGAAAUGCGUAGAUAUCGAGAGGAACACCUGCGGCGAAGGCGGGUUGCUGGGCUGAUACUGACGCUGAGGCGCGAAAGCCAGGGGAGCGAACGGG
RNAcentral lists this ribosomal RNA (254 nucleotides) under uncultured bacterium. RNAcentral's name for it is "partial 16S ribosomal RNA". It matches the Rfam family "Bacterial small subunit ribosomal RNA", at positions 524 to 776 of the family's 1533-position model. The record is from RNAcentral.